CAUGUUUAUUAUAAAUGAACUUCCUUUACAACCAAAUUGUGUUAAUAAUAUAUGAUUUGCGUCGACUAUUAAAUGGAUCUAUUGUCUGUUCCUUUGACAGUUCCAAUCGUAAUAUAUUAAUGUAAGUUGUGAAUUACACAUUAUUCUACAGGCAGUUCUUAAAUUCAUAUUUGCUAUCCUUAGAAUGCUUAUCCUUAGAAUGUUUAUCCAAAAUUGAGGAAACGUCAUAUUCAAAUAAAUUACAAGAUCAUAUUUAGAUUUCUUUUCGUUCUUGGGAUAAAGGAUAUUAGCUUUGAUAAGUUCCCCUGGGCAGGGAAGUAUUGCAAACUUUAUUGGAAAAGAAUGCAAUUUAAAGACAAACACAAAUACAAAUAACGUUACAAACAAAGAAGAAUUAAGAUGGAUAAGGUGCCUUACAUGCACCUUUUCAAUACAGUACGUACAAACAUAGAAAUAAGAUCUACAACAGUGAUGAUGAAAUAAUUCUUUGUUUGCAAUGACGUCAUUUUGGGAUUACUGCUGACGGGCGGGUAUAACAAAAAACGGCUUUUUAAUGUCUUGAUCGAGUUUAGAAGACUAAAAAAAAAUUAAUUACACAGUUUCUUGCUAUACAACCAUUUUGCUGAGGAGAAAAAUCGUCCACAAGUUGUUUGAUUGCCCGUCAUUUGGAUGAAAAGAAUUGCGUGAUUACAAACAAGGAAUACAGAAUCGAUAUUAAACAUACGAUGACUAAGGUUAUGACAUAUUCACAAAACUUUUACAUCAAAUCACAUGAAAGGUCACUUGGUCGUUUUUCAGAUGCGGUGUUUCAUAUAUUAGCGAGCUUAAGAUGUAUAGUCUAGUACACGGAGGGUACAAGUAACUAUGGAAUAAUUAACACAUCCUAAA
Paramuricea clavata is the source of this 888-nucleotide non-coding RNA. NCBI's taxonomy places the organism in Eukaryota, Metazoa, Cnidaria, Anthozoa, Malacalcyonacea, Plexauridae. The record is from the annotation of a GenBank genome assembly.